AUUGAACGCUGGCGGCAGGCCUAACACAUGCAAGUCGAGCGGAGCUGCGGACGGGUGGGUAAUGCCUAGGAAUCUGCCUGGUAGUGGGGGAUAGCGUCCGGAAACGGGCGCUAAUACCACAUACUAUCAGAUGAGCCUAGGUCGGAUUGGCUAGUUGGGGAGGUAAGGGCCUACAAAGACGACGAUCCGUAACUGGGCUGAGAGGAGGAUCAGUCACACUGGAACUGAGACACGGUCCAGACUCCUACGGGAGGCAGCAGUGGGGAAUAUUGGACAAUGGGCGAAAGCCUGAUCCAGCCAUGCCGCGUGUGUGAAGAAGGUCUUCGGAUUGUAAAGCACUUUAAGUUGGGAAGCGUUACCAACAGAAUAAGCACCGGCUAACUUCGUGCCAGCAGCCGCGGUAAUUC
Molecule: ribosomal RNA, 407 nt
Filed under: uncultured bacterium
Lineage: Bacteria
Description: partial 16S ribosomal RNA
Rfam family: Bacterial small subunit ribosomal RNA
Source: RNAcentral